RNAcentral lists this long non-coding RNA (317 nucleotides) under Gallus gallus (chicken). Lineage: Eukaryota; Metazoa; Chordata; Aves; Galliformes; Phasianidae. The record is from RNAcentral.
GGCUUCUCCAGAGGCACUAUGGCAUAACCUCAAUUUCUGGGCUGUUGAUUUGUUGUUGUCAUUUUUAAGGCUUGCUAAGGAAGCUGCAUAAUCUACUACUUUGCCAAUACUCCACUUACUGCAAAAGAACAUAGGCUUGCUUUUCUCUUUGUUUCCCUUUGGUAAAAGAACUUGAAAGUAAAUUCUUUCCGCCUGAGGCAAGGACUUGUCACCACAUGCAUGCAUUUUCAGUUUCAUUAAUGCCACUUUUGCUGCUGUUUCACUGUUCCUUGCUCCUUUGCGUUUUUUGCUUUUUAUGUCUUCAUUUUUUUUAGAAU